Molecule: ribosomal RNA, 478 nt
Filed under: uncultured bacterium
Lineage: Bacteria
Description: bacterial SSU rRNA
Rfam family: Bacterial small subunit ribosomal RNA
Source: RNAcentral
UGACAGUACUCCUACGGGGAGGCAGCAGUGGGGGAAUAUUGCACAAUGGGCGCAAGCCUGAUGCAGCCAUGCCGCGUGUAUGAAGAAGGCCUUCGGGUUGUAAAGUACUUUCAGCAGUGAGGAAGGUAGUGUAGUUAAUAGCUGCAUUAUUUGACGUUAGCUGCAGAAGAAGCACCGGCUAACUCCGUGCCAGCAGCCGCGGUAAUACGGAGGGUGCGAGCGUUAAUCGGAAUUACUGGGCGUAAAGCGCAUGCAGGUGGUUUGUUAAGUCAGAUGUGAAAGACCCGGGGCUCAACCUCGGAAUAGCAUUUGAAACUGGCAGACUAGAGUACUGUAGAGGGGGGUAGGAAUUUCAGGUGUAGCGGUGAAAUGCGUAGAGAUCUGAAGGAAUACCGGUGGCGAAGGCGGCCCCCCUGGACAGAUACUGACACUCAGAUGCGAAAGCGUGGGGAGCAAACAGGAUUAGAUACCCUGGUAG